Molecule: ribosomal RNA, 624 nt
Filed under: Triticum aestivum (bread wheat)
Lineage: Eukaryota; Viridiplantae; Streptophyta; Magnoliopsida; Poales; Poaceae
Description: partial small subunit ribosomal RNA
Source: RNAcentral
AUGCUUGAUCUCAAUGAGUUGCCUCCAGAUCUCAAUGAGCUUCCUCGUGAUAUGGAUCAGCAGCAACCCAGCAUACAACAAGGAAAUUGGACAGAAAAUGGUCGAUCUGUUUACUACACGCAGGCAAGUCGUGAUGGUAACCCUACGGGCCAUGACAAUGUGGCAGGCCAGUCAUCAGCCCACGGUGCCCAUGUAGUGGUGGCUUUGCAGUCAGAGAGCCAUACUCUUGAUGACACGGGAACCAAGGCAAAUGUUCCUGGUCCAACCAGGACUGAGCUAGAAGUUGGGGCUGUUGACAGAGCUGUGCAAGUAGAAGAAGGAGAGGAUGAGGCUGGUUCUCAACCUAUGGAACCCUAUGUUGGCAUGAGGUUUGACAGCCUUCAAAUUGCUAAGGAUCACUACAAUAGCUACGCACUAUGGAUGGGCUUCUCUAUCAAGAUGAACACCUCUAGACGGACAGCCCGCACCAAUGAAUUGAUAAAACAACAGUUUUGCUGCAACAAGUUCAAGAAGUCCAAAGCUGAUGAUGGAGGAGCUGAGGCUCCUCCUGUCCUGGACCCUAUUCCAGAUCCAAAAUCUGUUAACAAUGAUGAGGAGAUGGAAAGAACCUCCAAUAUUUGCUGA